This 465-nucleotide ribosomal RNA is filed under the name Vreelandella stevensii. Its description in RNAcentral is "partial 16S ribosomal RNA". It matches the Rfam family "Bacterial small subunit ribosomal RNA", at positions 338 to 795 of the family's 1533-position model. The record is from RNAcentral. Lineage: Bacteria; Pseudomonadati; Pseudomonadota; Gammaproteobacteria; Oceanospirillales; Halomonadaceae.
CCUACGGGGGGCAGCAGUGGGGAAUAUUGGACAAUGGGGGCAACCCUGAUCCAGCCAUGCCGCGUGUGUGAAGAAGGCCCUCGGGUUGGAAAGCACUUUCAGUGAGGAAGAACGCCUGGUGGUUAAUACCCAUCAGGAAAGACAUCACUCACAGAAGAAGCACCGGCUAACUCCGUGCCAGCAGCCGCGGUAAUACGGAGGGUGCGAGCGUUAAUCGGAAUUACUGGGCGUAAAGCGCGCGUAGGUGGCUUGAUAAGCCGGUUGUGAAAGCCCCGGGCUCAACCUGGGAACGGCAUCCGGAACUGUCAAGCUAGAGUGCAGGAGAGGAAGGUAGAAUUCCCGGUGUAGCGGUGAAAUGCGUAGAGAUCGGGAGGAAUACCAGUGGCGAAGGCGGCCUUCUGGACUGACACUGACACUGAGGUGCGAAAGCGUGGGUAGCAAACAGGAUUAGAUACCCCUGUAGUC